UCAGGGUUUCAGCAGCAGAGCUGCACUCUGUGGAACUGCAUGGCUGUCAGACUGAACUUAUUUCACCAACUCCUCUGACAACUGCAAGGCGGAUGGGCUUCAGUUUGCCUGACAUAAGCCACCUAAGAUGGUAGAAAGUGAGAAAACUCGGCGUGUAAAGGUAUUCCUUUGUCUCUCCUGCUGCAUUGGACAUGGAGGAAAGACUGAUAAUGAGGUGCUGUAGUUCAUGAAAGCUUGGGAGUGAAGAAAUACUGCACUGGUGUUCCUGUAUGAGGCAGCACAUGAGCAACUACUGAUAAUCCAUGAGAGCCUGGAUCUAUGCAAAUUAGCAGCUCACCUUUGCAGCACAUGAAGGCCAGCACUGGUUGAUGGACACUUCAUUUGGACACUGUUUCAUGUUCUGAAACAGUGAACUAUCCAAAUGACACCGCCUCAAAUUCUCAAUAUUCUGUCAACAGAACAAUACAACACUAUCAGUCAUUCUCACUUGUGCAGAUCCGGCAGAGUAAAUUGAUCCAUUUUAAACAGUGAUACUGCCUUGAAGUUAGACUUGAUGGACCAAAGAGAAACAAAGAUAUCACGUGAGGCCUUUCCUACUGUUCGUAAGAACAUGCUAAGCUGAAGCAGCAGGUUGUUCAGGAUAAUGAUGGCACAAGCUGCAGUCUGCAACAAAAUGAGCACAAAGACUUUCACUUCACCUAAAGAGCCAGGUUGUUGCUGUGAGAUCAUCGACAUGCACUCUGUUAGUGAGGCUGUGCAGACCAGAAGAAAUCACUGAGAACAGAGAAUCCCUGAAGGCUAUCAUCUCAAGAAGCACAGGACUAGGGUUGCCAAC
Gallus gallus (chicken) is the source of this 835-nucleotide long non-coding RNA. The record is from Ensembl. Lineage: Eukaryota; Metazoa; Chordata; Aves; Galliformes; Phasianidae.